GCCUUGGUGGAUCAAUCGGUAGAUCAUCCCUGUUCAGUGACUCCUGUAGAAGGUUUCUCACAGGAAGCCGGAGGUUCGAAUCCUCCCCAAGGCA
Mycena rebaudengoi is the source of this 94-nucleotide non-coding RNA. The record is from the annotation of a GenBank genome assembly. Lineage: Eukaryota; Fungi; Basidiomycota; Agaricomycetes; Agaricales; Mycenaceae.